Molecule: ribosomal RNA, 406 nt
Filed under: uncultured bacterium
Lineage: Bacteria
Description: partial 16S ribosomal RNA
Rfam family: Bacterial small subunit ribosomal RNA
Source: RNAcentral
GAUGAACGCUAGCUACAGGCUUAACACAUGCAAGUCGAGGGACCGGCGCACGGGUAAGUAACACGUAUCCAACCUGCCCUUUACUCGGGGAUAGCCUUUCGAAGGCAAGAUUACUACCCAAUAUAAAGGAUGGGGAUGAGUUCCAUUAGUUUGUUGGUGAGGUAACAGCUCACCAAGCCUUCGAUGGAUAGGGGUUCUGAGAGGAAGGUCCCCUACAUUGGAACUGAGACACGGUCCAAACUCCUACGGGAGGCAGCAGUGAGGAAUAGUGGUGAAUGGGCGCUAGCCUGAACCAGCCAAGUAGCAUGAAGAAUGAAGGCUUAUGGGUCGUAAACUUCUUUUAUAGAAGAAUAUGUAUUAUAUGAAUAAGGAUCGGCUAACUCCGUGCCAGCCGCCGCGGUAAUUC